GCCAGGCAUGGUGGAGCAUGCCUGUAAUCCCAGCAGUUUGGGAGGUUUAGUCAGGAGGAUCAUGAGUUCAAAGACAACCUCAGCAAUGGUGAGGCACUCAGUGAGACCCUGUCUCUAAAUAAGCAACUCAGUGAGACCCUGUCUUUA
This 147-nucleotide small RNA is filed under the name Marmota monax (woodchuck). Lineage: Eukaryota; Metazoa; Chordata; Mammalia; Rodentia; Sciuridae. The record is from RNAcentral.